AGGGACAGGCAAGGCAGCCACAAGCUGAGAAGAUGCUGCUUGAAAUGUUUGGGGUUUCCAGAGUUAAGGGCAUGACACCCAUGAACUUAUAUGCUCAUUGCUGAGCCUCAUCCCAUCUGAGAUCUCCCCAACCCACACCCCUGCUGCUGUAGAGGUAGACAUGAUGCGGGAAAGAGGUUAGACUUUUGGCGAUGGUGAUAAUUUGUGGUUUAUAGAAUUGAGGGUGCUACAGGGAGCGUGAGACCACUGUGCAGGAGCAAAAGCAAUGCACCUAGAAACACGCCUGGAAGAUUGCUCUCAGCUCUGACAGCUUAUCUGCCUUUCCUUGUUGGUGAUGGCCUGACAGUUUGAGCAGUCCUGCACAGCAGCACAGGCUGUUGUGUUGUGCUCUGUUCUCUCAGCAAUGAACCACAGCGACAUUGCAUAAAGCUGGAAAAAAUGACAAAAGAGAAUUGGCACAAAGCUGAGAGUGCAAUGGAGAAACAAGAAGAGAUGAGGCUGCAGGUGAAGUUCACGUUGAAUGUGAGUGGAGCUCAUAAAGGCCCAGCUACCAUGGGAAUGGUGACAGGGAUGCUGGUCCCCAGUGUGUGGAUAUGCAGCCUAAGGAACAGAAUGAAGGCAAACUUACCCCGUGAAACAGGAGAGUGGUGGUUGAAGCAGGGGCGAUGUGUGAAAAUGUCCCAAGGAAGUGACACCAGCAAAUAAUUAAAUUAAUACUGUAAAGAUUUCACAACAUUGAAAGUGCAAGAGUUAAAAAACAAUUAAAAAAAAUAAAAAGAAAGUGCAAGAGUUGGAAUGUUGGAAGCUGAUCCCAUUGAGAACAGAGUGAGAUAACUCAGAUGCUGACUCUAUAUUGUCAAGUGUGAGGUCAGAAGAAUGCAAGCACUGUGCAAACUACUCUUGAUAGGUCUUUACAAAAAAUAAAACACAAGCCUUUUCAGUGUU
Canis lupus familiaris (dog) is the source of this 945-nucleotide long non-coding RNA. RefSeq lists it as uncharacterized. The transcript is spliced from 3 exons. The record is from RefSeq and is a predicted model, not a curated record. Lineage: Eukaryota; Metazoa; Chordata; Mammalia; Carnivora; Canidae.